CCUACGGGCGGCAGCAGUGAGGAAUAUUGGUCAAUGGGCGGAAGCCUGAACCAGCCAAGUAGCGUGCAGGAUGACGGCCCUACGGGUUGUAAACCUCUUUUGUCGGGGAGCAAGGCCCGCCACGUGUGGCGGGAAGGAGAGUACCCGAAGAAAAAGCAUCGGCUAACUCCGUGCCAGCAGCCGCGGUAAUACGGAGGAUGCGAGCGUUAUCCGGAUUUAUUGGGUUAAAAGGGUGCGUAGGCGGAAGGUUAAGUCAGCGGUAAAAUGUCGGUGCUCAACACCGGCCUGCCGUUGAAACUGGUCUUCUUGAGUGAGCGAGAAGUAUGCGGAAUGCGUGGUGUAGCGGUGAAAUGCAUAGAUAUCACGCAGAACUCCGAUUGCGAAGGCAGCAUACCGGCGCUCAACUGACGCUGAGGCACGAAAGCGUGGGGAUCGAACAGGAUUAGAUACCCUUGUAGUC
This 460-nucleotide ribosomal RNA is filed under the name uncultured bacterium. RNAcentral's name for it is "partial 16S ribosomal RNA". It matches the Rfam family "Bacterial small subunit ribosomal RNA", at positions 338 to 795 of the family's 1533-position model. The record is from RNAcentral.